This is a long non-coding RNA of Camarhynchus parvulus, 323 nucleotides long. RefSeq lists it as uncharacterized. The record is from RefSeq and is a predicted model, not a curated record. The transcript is spliced from 3 exons. Lineage: Eukaryota; Metazoa; Chordata; Aves; Passeriformes; Thraupidae.
CUUCGAUGCCUUCGUGGUGGGGGCGGCGCUGGCGGGGGGCUCUGGUUCGUGCACGGCCGGACAGCCCCCCGGGCCCCCCCCGGCCCCAGCGCUGCCCCCCAGCCCGGGAGGGGCCAGCUCUGAGCGCUCGCCCCGAGCGGUUCCUGCGGGCGAAGGGAAUUCCGCAAUUGCGGCGCUGGGAGAUGCCCCCGGCAGCUCCCGCAGCCCCACCGAGCAUCGCUGCCGCCCAGGACAGCCCAGCACCCCGGGCUCCUCGCACGGGAGGGGGGGACAGGAGCAGCGAAUCGGGAAAUUCAUUAAUUAAUCAUUAAUUAAUCAAAAGU